This 241-nucleotide long non-coding RNA is filed under the name Bos taurus (domestic cattle). RNAcentral's name for it is "long non-coding RNA NONBTAT010912". The record is from RNAcentral. Lineage: Eukaryota; Metazoa; Chordata; Mammalia; Artiodactyla; Bovidae.
AUAUUGUUCUUGUAUGUAUUGCUGGGUUUAAUUUAAUGCAUGAACAUAACUAGAUACAUAAUGAUAAGUUAUUGGUGGGAUGGAUGUUAUUUAAAUUAUUUGUGUGAACCUGGGCAAGAGAUCAGUGUUGGGGAUACGGAUCAGCAAAUUACUUGUCUACUUGUUACUUGUGGUAUAAACUUAGUUACACAAAAACUGAGUAGUUAACAUUCAUCUUCUUAUUUGAAACUGUCCAAUGGUA